ACAAUGCGGGAUUAUCAGUCUUGCAAUUGGAUUGAGAACAAUGUACAACUCUUAUCGAUAAGCCAUUGGAGGGCAAGUCUGGUGCCAGCAGCCGCGGUAAUUCCAGCUCCAAUAGCGUAUAUUAACGUUGUUGCAGUUAAAAAGCUCGUAGUUGAAGUGUGGGUGAUCGCUGUUGUGAGACUUCGGUCUCUCGACAGUAAGUCACCCCCUUCCAGUAUCCAGUAGUGGGUAUUCAGUUACUUACUACUGUGUGUUGGUCGUUUACUGUGAGAAAAUUAGAGUGUUCAAAGCAGGCGUUUGCUUGAAUAGAUUAGCAUGGAAUAAUAAUUGAAGGCUUUCGUGUUCGAUUUGAUUGGUUUGUUCAUGGAAGCAAGGUUAAAAGGAACAGUUGGGGGUAUUCAUAUUCACUAGUUAGAGGUGAAAUUCUCGGAUUUAUGGAA
RNAcentral lists this ribosomal RNA (440 nucleotides) under Blastocystis sp. Its description in RNAcentral is "SSU rRNA". It matches the Rfam family "Eukaryotic small subunit ribosomal RNA", at positions 477 to 933 of the family's 1831-position model. Lineage: Eukaryota; Bigyra; Opalinata; Blastocystidae. The record is from RNAcentral.